Molecule: long non-coding RNA, 445 nt
Filed under: Naja naja (Indian cobra)
Lineage: Eukaryota; Metazoa; Chordata; Lepidosauria; Squamata; Elapidae
Description: lncRNA (ENSNNAG00000010805.1)
Source: RNAcentral
UGAUAACUAUGAUGAUUAAACUAUGAUGAUUAACUAUAACAAUCAGUAUCAGCAAAAACCGUGCUCAAACUUCCGGCAGUUCAUCUGUUCUUAAAAUAAGAGUGAGCAAGUGUUUUCCAGCAGUUCGAGAUCACAGAACAUGGACAGUAAGGAACCAAAGACCAAAAAGUGAGGGAAGAAAUUGGAUUCAGACGAGAUGCCACAGGAAUUCAGAUGAGAGUACAGGUGGUGAGAGUUGCCAACAGAAAGGGAGGACGGAGCAGUGCGGUAGCUCGCAAAAUGGAAGUGUCGAACUAUCUAAUUCAGCGCAUUGAAAAAUCUUAUUAGGAAUAAUAAAAGAGAACCUUAGCAAAGCAGACAUCUACAUGGAAUCACAGCAGCAACAAUACUAUUCGUCCAAACUUGGAAAACAAAGGAAAUUCCAAAUGACAAUGCUAUAAUAAAG